AUUUUUGUGAAAUGAUGUCAAUAGGAAAAUAUUUCAACUUAACAAAAAUGUACAAAGAAAUUCUUUUGAUAUUGAUUUUUGUUUACUCACAACAAAUGUGCAAGCCAGGUAUUUGCGACAGAAUUCAAUGUAAGCCAGCUAAGUGUGGUCCUGGACAAGAACUUUAUAAGAAUGGCGGCUUAUGUCACUGUUGUGAUAUUUGUCUCACGUUUAUAUGAUGAAGUCUAAUGCUGAAAAGAGAUUAAAGGAUAGUUGUUCUGUUUUGGGAUGGCUUUGUAGUUCGUCCAUUCGAUCUCAGUGUGGCCUUCUCGAAAGUAUUUUGAUCAUUAGAUAUUCGCCCACUUUCGAAUAAUGUAACCAAGCAUUCA
Argiope bruennichi is the source of this 368-nucleotide long non-coding RNA. RefSeq lists it as uncharacterized. The transcript is spliced from 3 exons. The record is from RefSeq and is a predicted model, not a curated record. NCBI's taxonomy places the organism in Eukaryota, Metazoa, Arthropoda, Arachnida, Araneae, Araneidae.